AAAUAUGACUAGAUGUUAUGGGUUUGAUUGAGUAUAAGAACUAGAACCGCAACAUCUUCCCAAAAGCUAAAGUUGUGUUUCCCUUCUAGAAGAUACAAAGCCAAAAACUCAUACGGACUUUGGCUACACCAUCAAAGCUUUAAGAAGCAACAAGAAGUUUCGUUAGUGUUUUGGAGUAAAAAAAGACUAUAUGUCAUGUGUAGUAUUGAGUAUAAAAACUAGAACCGCAACUGGUUCCCAAAAGCAAAUUUAGUGUUUCCUUGUUAGAAGAUACAAAGCCAAAGACACAUACGGACUUCGGCAACACCAUGAAAAUUUUGAGAAGCAAUAAGAAGCUUGGUUAGUGUUUUGGAGUCAAAUAUGACUAGAUGUCAUGUGUAUGAUUGAGUAUAAGAACUAGCAUGGCAACCGAUUCCCAAUAGCUAAAGUUAUGUUUCCUUGUUAGAAGAUACAAAGCCAAAGACUCAUACGGACUUCGUGUACACCGUCAAAAUUUUGAGUAGCAAUAAGAAGCUUGGUUAGUAUUUUAGAGUGAAAUAUUACAGGAUAUCAUGUGUAUCAUUGAGUAUAAGAACUAGAACCGCAACCGAUUCCCAAAAGCUAAAGUAAUGUUCUUGUUUGUAGAUACAAAGCCAAAGACUCAUACCGACUUCGGCUACACCAUCAAAGCUUUGUGAGGCAAUAAGAAGCUUGGUUAGUUUUUCGGAAUCAAAUAUGGCUAGAUGUCAUGUGUAUGAUUGAGUAUAAGAACUAGAACCGCAACUAAUUCCCAAAAGCUAAAUUAAUGUUUCCUUGUUAGAAGAUACAAAGCUAAAGACUCAUACGGACUUCGGCUAAGCCAUUAAUGUUUUGAGAAGCAAUAGGAAGCUUGGUUAUUUUUUUGGAGUCAAAUAUGACUAGAUGUCAUGUGUAUGAUUGAGUAUAAGAACUAGAACCGCAACCGUUUCCCAAAAGCUAAAGUAGUGUUUCCUUGUUAGAAGCUACAAAGCCAAAGACUCAUACGGACUUCGGCUACACCAUCAAAGUUUUGAGAAGCAAUAAGAAGCUUGGUUAGUAUUUUGGAGUCAAAUAAGACAAGAUGAUAUGUGUUUGAUUGAGUAUAAGAACUAUAACCGCAACAUCUUCCCAAAAGCUAAAGUUGUGUUUCCCUUCUAGAAGAUACAAAGCCAAAAACUCAUACGGACUUUGGCUACACCAUCAAAGCUUUAAGAAGCAACAAGAAGUUUGGUUAGUGUUUUGGAGUCAAAAAAGACUAUAUGUCAUGGGUAGUAUUGAGUAUAAAAACUAGAACCGCAACUGGUUCCCAAAAGCAAAAGUAGUGUUUCCUUGUUAGAAGAUACAAAGCCAAAGACUCAUACGGACUUUGGCUACACCAUCAAAGUUUUGAGAAGCAAUAAGUAGCUUGGUUAGUAUUUUGGAGUCAAAUAAGACAAGAUGUUAUGUGUUUGAUUGAGUAUAAGAACUAUAACCGCAACAUCUUCCCAAAAGCUAAAGUUGUGUUUCCCUUCUAGAAGAUACAAAGCCAAAAACUCAUACGGACUUUGGCUACACCAUCAAAGCUUUAAGAAGCAACAAGAAGUUUGGUUAGUGUUUUGGAGUCAAAAAAGACUAUAUGUCAUGUGUAGUAUUGAGUAUAAAAACUAGAACCGCAACUGGUUCCCAAAAGAAAAAGUAGUGUUUCCUUGUUAGAAGAUACAAAGCCAAAGACUCAUACGGACUUCGGCUACACCAUGAAAAUUUUGAGAAGCAAUAAGAAGCUUGGUUAGUGUUUUGGAGUCAAAUAUGACUAGAUGUCAUGUGUAUGAUUGAGUAUAAGAACUAGAAUGGCAACCGAUUCCCAAUAGCUAAAGUUAUGUUUCCUUGUUUGAAGAUACAAAGCCAAAGACUCAUACGGACUUCGUGUACACCAUCAAAAUUUUGAGAAGCAAUAAGAAGCUUGGUUAGUAUUUUAGAGUCAAAUAUUACAGGAUAUCAUGUGUAUAUUGAGUAUAAGAACUAGAACCGCAACCGAUUCCCAAAAGCUAAAGUAAUGUUUCUUGUUUGUAGAUACAAAGCCAAAGACUCAUACCGACUUCGGCUACACCAUCAAAGCUUUGUGAGGCAAUAAGAAGCUUGGUUAGUUUUUCGGAAUCAAAUAUGGCUAGAUGUCAUGUGUAUGAUUGAGUAUAAGAACUAGAACCACAACUAAUUCCCAAAAGCUAAAUUAAUGUUUCCUUGUUAGAAGAUACAAAGCUAAAAACUCAUACGGACUUCGGCUAAGCCAUUAAUGUUUUGAGAAGCAAUAGGAAGCUUGGUUAUUUUUUUGGAGUCAAAUAUGACUAGAUGUCAUGUGUAUGAUUGAGUAUAAGAACUAGAACCGCAACCGAUUCCCAAAAGCUAAAGUAAUGUUUCCUUGUUUGAAGACACAAAGUCAAAGACUCAUACGGACUUCGGCUACACCAUCAAAACUUUGUGAGGCAAUAAGAAGCUUUGUUAGUUUUUUGGAGUCAAAUAUGACUAGAUGUCAUGUGUAUGAUUAAGUAUAAGAACUAGAACCAUAACUGAUUCCCAAAAGCUAAAGUAAUGUUUCCUUGUUAGAAGAUACAAAGCUAAAAACUCAUACGGACUUCGGCUAAGCCAUCAAAAUUUUGAGAAGCAAUAAGAAGCUUGGUUAGUGUUUUGGAGUCAAAUAUGACUAGAUGUCAUGUGUAUGAUUGAGUAUAAGAACUAGAACCGCAACCGUUUCCAAAAAGCUAAAGUAGUGUUUCCUUGUUAGAAGCUACAAAGCCAAAGACUCAUACGGACUUCGGCUACACCAUCAAAGUUUUGAGAAGCAAUAAGAAGCUUGGUUAGUAUUUUGGAGUCAAAUAAGACAAGAUGUUAUGUGUUUGAUUGAGUAUAAGAACUAUAACCGCAACAUCUUCCCAAAAGCUAAAGUUGUGUUUCCCUUCUAGAAGAUACAAAGCCAAAAACUCAUACGGACUUUGGCUACACCAUCAAAGCUUUAAGAAGCAACAAGAAGUUUGGUUAGUGUUUUGGAGUCAAAAAAGACUAUAUGUCAUGUGUAGUAUUGAGUAUAAAAACUAGAACCGCAACUGGUUCCCAAAAGAAAAAGUAGUGUUUCCUUGUUAGAAGAUACAAAGCCAAAGACUCAUACGGACUUCGGCUACACCAUGAAAAUUUUGAGAAGCAAUAAGAAGCUUGGUUAGUGUUUUGGAGUCAAAUAUGACUAGAUGUCAUGUGUAUGAUUGAGUAUAAGAACUAGAAUGGCAACCGAUUCCCAAUAGCUAAAGUUAUGUUUCCUUGUUUGAAGAUACAAAGCCAAAGACUCAUACGGACUUCGUGUACACCAUCAAAAUUUUGAGAAGCAAUAAGAAGCUUGGUUAGUAUUUUAGAGUCAAAUAUUACAGGAUAUCAUGUGUAUAUUGAGUAUAAGAACUAGAACCGCAACCGAUUCCCAAAAGCUAAAGUAAUGUUUCUUGUUUGUAGAUACAAAGCCAAAGACUCAUACCGACUUCGGCUACACCAUCAAAGCUUUGUGAGGCAAUAAGAAGCCUGGUUAGUUUUUCGGAAUCAAAUAUGGCUAGAUGUCAUGUGUAUGAUUGAGUAUAAGAACUAGAACCGUAACUAAUUCCCAAAAGCUAAAUUAAUGUUGCCUUGUUAGAAGAUACAAAGCUAAAAACUCAUACGGACUUCGGCUAAGCCAUUAAUGUUUUGAGAAGCAAUAGGAAGCUUGGUUAUUUUUUUGGAGUCAAAUAUGACUAGAUGUCAUGUGUAUGAUUGAGUAUAAGAACUAGAACCGCAACCGAUUCCCAAAAGCUAAAGUAAUGUUUCCUUGUUUGAAGACACAAAGUCAAAGACUCAUACGGACUUCGGCUACACCAUCAAAACUUUGUGAGGCAAUAAGAAGCUUUGUUAGUUUUUUGGAGUCAAAUAUGACUAGAUGUCAUGUGUAUGAUUAAGUAUAAGAACUAGAACCAUAACUGAUUCCCAAAAGCUAAAGUAAUGUUUCCUUGUUAGAAGAUACAAAGCUAAAAACUCAUACGGACUUCGGCUAAGCCAUCAAAAUUUUGAGAAGCAAUAAGAAGCUUGGUUAGUGUUUUGGAGUCAAAUAUGACUAGAUGUCAUGUGUAUGAUUGAGUAUAAGAACUAGAACCGCAACCGUUUCCCAAAAGCUAAAGUAGUGUUUCCUUGUUAGAAGCUACAAAGCCAAAGACUCAUACGGACUUCGGCUACACCAUCAAAGUUUUGAGAAGCAAUAAGAAGCUUGGUUAGUAUUUUGGAGUCAAAUAAGACAAGAUGAUAUGUGUUUGAUUGAGUAUAAGAACUAUAACCGCAACAUCUUCCCAAAAGCUAAAGUUGUGUUUCCCUUCUAGAAGAUACAAAGCCAAAAACUCAUACGGACUUUGGCUACACCAUCAAAGCUUUAAGAAGCAACAAGAAGUUUGGUUAGUGUUUUGGAGUCAAAAAAGACUAUAUGUCAUGUGUAGUAUUGAGUAUAAAAACUAGAACCGCAACUGGUUCCCAAAAGAAAAAGUAGUGUUUCCUUGUUAGAAGAUACAAAGCCAAAGACUCAUACGGACUUUGGCUACACCAUCAAAGUUUUGAGAAGCAAUAAGUAGCUUGGUUAGUAUUUUGGUGUCAAAUAAGACAAGAUGUUAUGUGUAUGAUUAAGUAUAAGAACUUUAACCACAACUGAUUCCCAAAAGCUAAAGUAAUGUUUCCUUGUUAGAAGAUACAAAGCUAAAAACUCAUACGGACUUCGGCUAAGCCAUCAAAAUUUUGAGAAGCAAUAAGAAGCUUGGUUAGUGUUUUGGAGUCAAAUAUGACUAGAUGUCAUGUGUAUGAUUGAGUAUAAGAACUAGAACCGCAACCGUUUCCCAAAAGCUAAAGUAGUGUUUCUUUGUUAGAAGCUACAAAGCCAAAGACUCAUACGGACUUCAGCUACACCAUCAAAGUUUUGAGAAGCAAUAAGAAGCUUGGUUAGUGUUUUGGAGUAAAAAAAGACUAUAUGUCAUGUGUAGUAUUGAGUAUAAAAACUAUAACCGCAAU
RNAcentral lists this small RNA (5031 nucleotides) under Arabidopsis thaliana (thale cress). Its description in RNAcentral is "ATSL197680". Lineage: Eukaryota; Viridiplantae; Streptophyta; Magnoliopsida; Brassicales; Brassicaceae. The record is from RNAcentral.